AAAAUGCGAAACGCAUUGUGAUUAGCGGAAUUCUGAGAAUCAAUAGGUCGCUGAACGCACACGGCACUACUGCGCAAGCAGUAGUAGGUCUGUUUCAGUCUCAAUUGCAAUCUCAUCAAACAAUUUGUAUUUAUUUACAUCUUGCUAUUGGUGAGUUAAGGUGCUGCUCGAUACGUCUGGCAGUCGCAGUGUUCUAUAACAGUUCAUUAAGUUAACAUAUUGGUCUAACCUAUGUUGCCGAAGAACUACUACUUUAUAGCGUACUAAACUACAUGAGCUGAAAUCAGACCAGGCUACCCGCUGAACUUAA
This 310-nucleotide unclassified non-coding RNA is filed under the name uncultured Mortierellales. Its description in RNAcentral is "sequence contains ITS1". The stretch from base 1 to 103 matches the Rfam family "5.8S ribosomal RNA", at positions 50 to 154 of the family's 154-position model. Lineage: Eukaryota; Fungi; Mortierellomycota; Mortierellomycetes; Mortierellales. The record is from RNAcentral.